Long non-coding RNA from Lepisosteus oculatus (spotted gar), 452 nucleotides. RefSeq lists it as uncharacterized. Lineage: Eukaryota; Metazoa; Chordata; Actinopteri; Semionotiformes; Lepisosteidae. The record is from RefSeq and is a predicted model, not a curated record.
UUGCAACACGUCCUAUCUGGGUAUAUCAUGUCCUGAUAUGAGACCUUUGUUGCGAUAGCGGUGCCAGGAUGGCAUGGAAGCAAGGCGCCAGUCGUGAUAUACACUGCCGCGAUAUACACGCCUUAUACAUGGGGUCCCUAUCAUGACAUGCUGCGGAGGUCUUGUCGCGAUGGUAUCGCAGAGUUACACGUUUGGUAACAGCGUGUCACGUGGAAGACUGCCACUGGGAACAGAGUUAGAAAUGGUGGGAUAGGGAUCCCCAGAAUCCUGAAACAAGUGACUCCUAUGACAUCCUGGAUACCUACAGGCUUGCAAUUACAUCAGAGGGAAAUUCAGCUCCUCCAAUCCAUGCAAACUCUCCUGUCAGCAUUUUAAAUAUGGAAGGAGCCCAAUAACUUAAUCCACCACUGAAGUCGCAGAAUCCCCACUACACAGCUGAUCAGGCAGAGAGG